CAAAGGCAGGCGCCAAACCACUGUGCCACCCAGGGAUCCCGCCUUUUUAAUAGUCCAAGUUCAUCAUCUUUGUCUGGGGCCAGCCCCAUCUCCAAGCUCACCGGCGGGCCCUGACUGAUCAUGCCAAUCACAGUCAGCUCUCUUACAGUGUUGGGUGGCUGGAUCUGGGAGUGAUGCCAGGAGCUCUGCAACCAUCUUGUGUCCAUGAGGAGAGUCAUCCCAGGGACAAAGCCAUCAUUCAGGGAAGGAGGCAGCAGAGCAGAUGCAGACCCCUGGAGGCCUCUCAUCAGUGCACCCUCUCCCUGGGCUUCCCACAAGGUGAAAUAAUGGACUUCCUGACCCUGUCAGGUAUUGAAGUCAGGUGCCUAGUCCUUGGGGCUGCCAGUAUCCUAAACCACCAAUCUCAUUCAGGGACAUUUAUUUCCUUUUUGGUUUUUCAAAUUUAUAAACCAGUUGCUUCAAUAAAUGCCUUUGUAAAUAAAACUUUUUCUGUAACACGUAGCCUCAGAUGGAUGCCCAGAAGUGGAGUGACAGGAUGAGAAGGCAUUAAUUUUUAAAGUUGCUUGAUUCAUAUUUUCACUUGCCUUCCUGUUGGCGGCUCUACAGGCUUAAUCGGUCUCUCAGCCAGAAAGCAGGGGGACAGGGGUUUGAACCAAGGUCUUCCGAUAUCACAUCCAAAGCUAGAUAUUAAA
This is a long non-coding RNA of Canis lupus familiaris (dog), 692 nucleotides long. RefSeq lists it as uncharacterized. Lineage: Eukaryota; Metazoa; Chordata; Mammalia; Carnivora; Canidae. The record is from RefSeq and is a predicted model, not a curated record. The transcript has 3 exons.